Molecule: long non-coding RNA, 5771 nt
Filed under: Homo sapiens (human)
Lineage: Eukaryota; Metazoa; Chordata; Mammalia; Primates; Hominidae
Description: HSALNT0401114
Source: RNAcentral
AAGCAAUCUUUCUGCCUUGGCCUCCCAAAGCACUGGGGUUACAGGCAUGAGCCACCAUGCCUGGCCCCAUGUCCUGUUUCUAAACUAAUAAUUAGCAAGGUAAGGCAAAAACGGUCCUUUUACCUGUAUUUGAGCUCACAUCUACGGAGGCUUCAACAGAACAAUUCCAUGUCCUAUUUUUGGAAGAAAGCUCCAAUUUCUAGCCCUAGUUUUCAGUGUUGUGGAGUAGUUUUAUUUCCUGUCUUUCGUAUUUUUUUUUUAAAAAAAGCUUCUCCAACAUUUUAGUUGCAAUCUGAGACAGUCUGUUUCAGAGACAAAAUUUUACAGCCAGAUGCUCCAGUGUGAGCCGCUGCAGUUUGUUUCUAAGGAUGAUCAGUAACGAAUGGGGAAUGCUUGUCAUUUGCUCAAAUAUUGUGAAGUCUUGUCUUUUCUUGGGCACAUGCACACUUUUAUAGGCAAGGUUUCAUCCAUCCGUAAUGCCUGCUGGGACAACUGGGAGAACAGGUCAGUCAUUUGCAGAAACAGACCUAAAACCCUAAGGCCUAGGAGCCAUCACAGCCCCCACCCCAUCUGGACAUUAACAAGACACACAGGGUGGGGAAAGAAGGCAAAUGGGAGUGCAGUGGAGUCAGGAGAUAGGCAACUCUGGGCCUCCACUUCCGUGGGGGAUUUUAAUAAUCUCCCUGGAGUCACAGUGGGUUGUUAUAAGGAGGCAGAGGGAAGGUAGGAUGGUUCUGAUACAGAAAAUAGCUCCUCAGUGGGACAGGGGAGAUGACAGCAGAGAAGCUUUCAACCACCUUUUUUUUUGUGAUGCCACAAGUCUCUGCAGCUCACCUGUAUAGCGCUAUUGCUCUAUUCCACGUGACAAAACAUGAGUCACCUGCUCAAUUAGUUUCAUUCAGUCCAUUAUCCCUAUAGCUAGGGAGAGCUCUCUCCCAUAAACUGGCAAAUCAUUGUUCAAUAUAUUUAAUCUUAAUAUGGUUGAUCCUUCCUUUUCUUUCUUUUUACCUCUCUUCCUCUCUCCAUCCUUCUUAUUCAUCCAUCCACCUAUCUAUCCAUCCAUUUACCUGAAGGUAUGUUGACCAUCUACUUUGUGUCAGGUACUAUUCCAAGCACUUAAUAUACAAUAUCUGAUUAAAUUUUAACAAUACCCUGGAAGUUAGCUCUUAAUAUUCUUUAUGAAUAUUAUAUGAGGUUUAGAGAGUUUAUGUGUCUUGUCCAAGAUUCAGCAAAAUUCAGCCCAUGGGCUAAAUUCAACCUAUUUUUGUAAAUAAAGUUUAGUUGGAACAUAUCCAUGCCCAUUUGUUUACGUAUGACACAAUUUCAGCAGAGUGGAGUAGUUACAACAGAGACCAUUUGGUCCACAAAUGCUAACAUAUUUACUAACUGGCCCUUAACUGAAAAAGUUUGCCAACCCCUGUUCUUGCCCAGUAAUACUUAGCAAGAAAGUAGCAGAGUCAAAGAUUCAAACCCAGAUCUAUUUAACUCAAAAGGCCAUAAUUCUUCAAUGCUGUGUCAUGCAACAGAAGUAUGUGAGUUUUGUCUACAUGACUUCUUGACACCUAGGGUGAGAUGGCCAGGCUAGAUUUAUGGUAAGAGGAACAGAUCUGACAUAUAUUACUUAGUAAGUAGCCAAUUACUGUGGAAGACUCUCUUCAUUUGUAAGAAAAGCCAGUGAGGAUGCUUUUUUUUUUUUUCCUGGUGAAGUAAUUAUAGAGACGAGUGUUGAUGCAUGUUUUGACUUUGCUGCAAAAGUAGUUCUGUCUUCUCCAGUUUAAGUAAUUACAUUAGUUUCUAAAUAGAGCAGAUGGAACUAUAGUUGUCAAAGAAUGCAAAGAUCAGUCAACUGCAUUUAUGGUGUGACAUUCUAAGCAGAGAUACCGCAAAGUAUCUUGUGCAAAACCAACUAGGUGAGUGCUAUUGAGCACCUGUGAGCCAGAAGAAAACAGGAGAAAAAUGUGGCUAAAUGGAAAUGGAAAUUUCUACACAAUGGGAUCUGGUGGCAAACACAUUUUCCUACCAUAAUGCCCCAACAAUUGCUUGUUUUCUAAUGUUGCCUGGUUGGGGGAAGAUAUAUUCUGAGUGUUCCUCCAAACUUGUAGAACUCAAUUUUUCUGGGGGAGAGGGUUGUCCUAAGAUGGUCUGCUUGGUACUCAGAGUGCAAAGAUGUCUCCUGCAAGAAGCAAGCAGCUUAUGAAGGAAGCAAUGACUUAAAGCAGACACGUUACCUCUAAAGAACAGGGAGAAGAUCAAAUCCAGAACCAGGCAGUAGUAAUAAGGGAACUGACCUGGCAAUAGGCCAAGGAUCCAAACGACAUGGGAACCAGGCAUGAUUCAAAACAGCCACUGCUGAACACCUACACCAAUGGGGGGAAAAAUGAUACUCUUAGCGUUAGAGUCCACAACUGCUACAGAGUCUCAGCUGUGAUUUCUACUGCCGGGUGUCCCCAUAGAAGUCUGCAUCCCAACCCCUGAGACCUGUGAAUAUGUUACCUUACUUAGCAAAAGGGACUUUGCAGAUAUAAUUAAGCUAAAGAUCUUGAGAUGGGGAGAUUAUUCUUCAUUUUUUGGGUGGGCUCAGUGUAAUCACAAGUGUCCUUGUAAAUGAAAGUGGGAGGUAAGAGGGUCAGAGUCAGAGAGAGAUGUCAAGAUGCUACACUGCUACCUUUGAAGAUAGAGGAAGGGGCCAUGAGCCAAGCAGUGCAGACAGCUUCUAGGAGCUAGAAAAAGUCAGCCGACAGAUUCUGUCCCAGAACCUCUAGAACCAACACAUCCAGGCAACACCUUGAUUUUAGCCCAGUGAAACCCAUUUCAGACAUCUGACUCCCAGAAGGCCAGAAGAUAAUAAAUUUGUGUGGUUUCAAGCCACUAUGUCUAUGGUAAUUUGUUAUAGCAGCAAUGAUAAACUAAUACAACAGCCCUGACUUGGGGGGAGGGUAAAGGAAAGAGCCACACACCACCACCCUCUCACCAUGGGAGGAAUAGUUGAAAUGAACACAUGACUUCAGGUCCCCAACAAAGAGCUGAAUGGGUUUCAGGCUAGCUUGCUAAUUCAUUCACCAAUUCUCAGCUCUGGUGUUGCUUGAUUCAGAAGGUAAAGACAAUUUUUAAAUUUCCUUAAUUUCAAAACUUAAUUCAUCCAAUGCAUUUAAUUUAAAAUCAUACAUUAUUUAUCCACAAAUCCUGAUACACAGGGAAAGAAACAGAAAUAUUUGCUGGACAGGUGGCAUGGAAACAAAGGGUUAUUAGCGAUUGCCAUGCAGGCCUAAGUGAAUUCACAAUGACCAUCAUGACAUCAUGUCUGUUGUUACUAUCAAGAGCGUUGCUCUUGGAUAAGUAUCAAUAACCUCAGAACUAUGGAAAGAACCAUGUGUGGAGUUUGGCACCACAGAUAUUCUCUGAGUGAUUGAAGUCUCUUCUACCAUGGUGAGUGGUACCAUGGAAGUAAUCUUGUCCCCAGGCCUCCUAAGCUUACUUAUGAUGAAGUGAUGAGACUCUUACCCAAGAAACCAUUACAGAAAAAAAAAUCCUCGCCUAAUAAAAUUGUGCCAGUGAACAAACUCUCAGAUAUAUGGCCAUAUUGACAAGAUCUGCAAUGGUAUCAAAAGAGGUCAAGCUAAUAACCUGAGGAAACAGGAAGAAAACUCCAAUUGUCUUAUACAGAAGGUCUACAAUCAAUAGGAUGAAGUCUAACACUGGCGAGAGUGGGAGGCCUUGAAAGCUCCAUGAUAGAGAUGACAGAGCUAUAAGAUGAAAGCAGCCCAAAUCCCUGAGUCACCAAUGUUUGAAGAAGAGCUUCCCAGGAGAGGUACCAGACCCACAUGAGACUUCACAUGAUUAUAAAAUGAACUUCUAUUGUGUUGAAUCUCUGAACUUCAGGGUUGUUUUGCAGCACAGACUACAUUAUAGUGACAAGUAGAGGAAGGUACAGUAAAAGCCUUGCCAUCACUCCCAUUAUACAGAGGAAGAAACUGAGACCUAGAGAAGUUCAGAACCUUGCUACAUCAAUCAGAAGUACAAGCCAAGGCUCAUGAAGUGGUUUCCUUAUUUUCUCACCCCAAGUUAGUAAGUCUGUAACUUCUCCUUCACAGUGCAAUUUGUCACGCAGUCUAUGGCACUGUAGAAUUUGGCUAUAGAUCCCUAAGUCAGAAAAGUCCAUGUUUGGAGAACUACUAGUAAGUCAAGACAGAGGAGUGUGACAAAGGCUGACAAAACCCUACCUGCAGCCUGGAGGUCACAGGCAGCCUGCUUUUUGAGUCUCCCUGAAUGGAGGGGAAGGGGCUCUCCCUGAGGGAAUGUGCUCAACUCUGGGUCGUGUGGAAGAGUUAGGAAGUUAACACUCCAUGAGCGACCCUCAUCCAAUGUCGGCUGGGAAUGGGUGGAUAAAUACCCUAACUUUCUAAGGUAUAUGUGUGUCCAGCAGGGCCUCCAGUGGGGAUGAACCACAGUUGGCCACAAUGGUAACCUGCCCAUUAACACACCCUUCAUUGGUCUUUAUUCCCUUCCCUGAGCCUUCACUGUGUUUUCAGGGAUCACCUCCGAAGGAAAUGACUUACACCCAAAUCAGGAUCUGUUUUUGAGGGAACCCAACAUAACACAUGGAGAGAUGGGUUUCCUAUGAAGAAGGAAAUAUGGGCUGUAAAAUACCACGGAGAGUCAGAGUAAGUACAGGCGGCUACAACAAAGAUAGAUCAGGUCACGGAGGUCUCUGGGAAUAGAGGAAAGCCACCCAGAGGAAAAAAGGACAUGACUGCCACUAGCACCAUAUGUAUGUUUCAGAUGGGAUGUGUAUUUAUGUGUGUGUGUGUGUGUGUGUGUGUGUGUGUGUGUGUGUAGGGAGGGGUGACAGAGAGAGAGAGGCAGAAUAAAUAUCUUGGUCAUUGGUUACAAGCCAACAAAACUGAAGUGAUGAAACUCAGUGAGUUUUAUAGAAAUGUGCUGGAGAUGCUUCAAUUACUUUCUCAAUAGGUCUAUUUUGAUAACUGAAUGAAAAGAAUCCAUGUGAAGCACCUACCACUCUUCCUGGCUUGUAGUGAACACACAAAAAGAAUUGUUGAUUAUUGUAGUAGACACUGUAGUGUACCUCCUAGAUUCUCCUUACCCAGCCACUAUACCCAUCCCCAUUGCUGUGAGGUCAGGUGCCCAGGAAUCACAGCAUCCCACCCACCCUUCCCUUGCUCCAGGCAAUGCCCUCAACUGGUAGGUGUCACUUUGCCCAGAAACUACCAUUCUUCUCCAGGGGACCCACGGCCAAGGGCAAACUGGCAUAGGCUAUGCAAGGCUGGCCCCUGGCAGAAUGUAUGUGGAAGGGGCAACUCUUCAGUGUGCUUUAUGGACCAUGGACCAAAUCCAGCUCUCCAUUUGCUUUUGUAAAUUGUUAUUGGAACACAGCCACCCCAUUCCUUUUUGAAUUGUCCAUGGCUGCUUUCCUGCUACAACAGAAGUUGAGUUAUUGCAACAGAGGUCGUCUGGGCCACAAGAUCUAAAGUAUUUACUCUGGCCCUUGAUGGAAGAAACUUGUCCACCGAGCCCUAGAGCUGCACUUCCAAUAUGGUAGCCAUUGGCCAUAUGUGGAUAUUUCAAUUUAAAUUCAUUAAAAUUAAAUAAAAUUAAUAUUUCAGUUCUUCAACUCCAAAAAUUACAUUUUGAGUACUCAGUAGCCAUGAGUCGCUGGUGACUCUCCUAUCAGCCCAGAUACAGAACACUGCCAUCUUCACAGGAAGUUCUGUUGGAUGGUGCUGCACUAUAGGCUUCAGCUUCUGGGUAAAACU